Pseudopipra pipra is the source of this 440-nucleotide long non-coding RNA. RefSeq lists it as uncharacterized. The transcript has 3 exons. Lineage: Eukaryota; Metazoa; Chordata; Aves; Passeriformes; Pipridae. The record is from RefSeq and is a predicted model, not a curated record.
CUGGUUCUAGUGUAAGGGGAUUUUUAAAAUAUUCAUAAAACAACAUCAAAAUAAUUAAUUUUAAUCCUUUUACAGAAAUAAAAGUUUUCGAGAGGCCAUCUCUUCUGCUGGUGGAGUAAAGAUCAAAUCAGCAGUAAAAACAAGUAUGUUCAUUGUACACAGAAUUCCACACUUGUGAAAGAGAGCUGAGUCAGAGCUUUAAAAAGAAGUCUCUCCAAUCCAUUUAAAGGAAUCCCAGGUGGAUCUAGACCCUUUCAAGAAGUGCAGUGCAGAGUCUCCAGAUAAAGAGCAAAUAGGACAUCAUCUGCAUAUGGCCAUUCUGAGAAGAAUAUGUUUCCUAGCAAUGCUCUACCUUCACCAACACAGAACUGCUCAAGAGAAAUAGACAAUGAUGGUAAAUAACAGGAAUUUGCCAAAUAAAGGAAAUUUUUAAAGUGAAA